AUUUAAAUAGUUUAAAUAAAAUAUUGAUUUGUGAUAUCAAAGAUGUAUUAUUUUAUACUUUAGAUA
Molecule: transfer RNA, 66 nt
Filed under: Drepanocerus kirbyi
Lineage: Eukaryota; Metazoa; Arthropoda; Insecta; Coleoptera; Scarabaeidae
Description: tRNA-His
Source: RNAcentral